Molecule: long non-coding RNA, 2027 nt
Organism: Lycium barbarum (goji berry)
Lineage: Eukaryota; Viridiplantae; Streptophyta; Magnoliopsida; Solanales; Solanaceae
Exons: 3
Source: RefSeq, a predicted model, not a curated record
UCAACCCCACUCCUCUUUAUACGCAACAAUCACCUCUCAAAAGAAAAAAAACUGCUUCUUAAUUUAUAAUGCUUAGAUAUGCAUUAAUUACUUAUUUUCGACUCACACCAACUUAAUCAGCUAGAAAGCAGGAUGGCUAUGAGAAUCUAAAGAGAUAUUGAGUAAAACCCCACCAGAAGGAGUUUGCAACGGCUGCUACACAUACGCUAAUUAUCAAGUCUUAGCAAGCGGCUCAAUUUCAUGAAUUCCGCAACAAAUUCUUUGGAUAAACACCAAAUUUUGUGGUGAAACUGAUUCUGAAGAUAGGAUUGAAAGUUUGGUACAACUUACUGAAAAGAACUGGCUUUCGAGAAAGAAGCUUACCUCAACAAUUUACAAUUUCCUUCUCCUUCACAUCAAGAUUAUGGCACCAAAUAAGCAAUGGAUGGAACUUAUUAAUGAUCGACUUGCUGGUGCUUACGUAGAUGGGGUGGAAAGUUUUUUAGAUUAUGCUUUUACAAGAUUGGGAGAACCACAAUUGAUACGUUGUCCCUGCAUCAAAUGUGGUAAUGCGACUUCUAGAACACGUGUUGUGGUCAGGUCACAUUUGAUAGUACAUGGGAUAAUACCGGGUUAUACUCUUUGGUAUCACCAUGGGGAGAGGUCAGGUGAAGCACAACCAGAUUUUGAAUUUAUAUAUGACAAUGACAUCGAAGAGGGUGAUGGUGAGGAUGAAAUACAUGGGAUUUUGAGAGAUUUGUAUUAUAAUGGAGAUAAUAUGAACAAUAGUGGUGAUGAUUUUGUCGAGGAGGAAACAAAUCCUGAAGCAAAAUGAUUUUAUAAGCUACUGGAGGAUUUUGAGCUACUUUUAUAUGAAAGUGCAAAAGUUUCUAAACUUUCUACUUUGGUUAAAUUGCUUCACAUUAAAAGUAUUGGUCAUUGGAGUAAUGAGUCAUUUACGAUGUUAUUAAAGUUUUUGAAAGAAGAUUUAUUGCUUGAUGGAACAAACUUGCCAAAUUCAUAUUACGAGGCAAAGAAGGUUAUUCGAGAUCUUGGUCUUUCUUAUAAGAAGAUUGAUGCGUGUAAGAAUGAUUGCAUGUUAUAUUGGAAGGAUGAUAAUUGUCUUGAAUUUGCAAAGUUUGUGGGGCAUCCAGAUGGAAGGAGGAUAAACAUAGUGGGGAAACCAUAUUUAAAAGUGGAAAAAAGAUACCAUACAAGAUUUUACGUUAUUUUCCUCUAAAGACCAGACUUCAAAGAUUAAUUAUGGGUUCAAAGACAUCUCCUCUUAUAUCAUGGCAUCAUGAUAAAAGAGUUGAUGAUGGGAUUAUGAGACACCCAGCUGAUUCAAUGGUAUGGAAAAACUUUGAUGAGCUUCACCCAUCUUUUGCUGCUAAGCCUCGUAAUGUAAGACUUGGGCUUGCUAGUGAUGGAUUUCAACCAUUUGGAAUGUCCAGAACUCCAUACAGCAUUUGGCCCGUGGUACUUAUUCCUUAUAAUUUACCACCUUGGCUUUGCAUGAAGCAAGAGAAUUUUAUUUUGUCAAUGUUUAUACCUGGUCCUGAGAGUCUGCAAUUGAUGUCUAUCUUCAACCUUUGAUAGAGGAAUUGAAUGAAUUAUGGGAAACUGGAGUGGAGACCUUUGAUGCGUUAACUAAAAAGAAUUUUACAUUACAUGCGUCUUUGUUAUGGACCAUCAACGACUUUCCAGCAUAUGCAAAUUUGUCUGGAUAAAGUACAAAAGGAAAAUUGGAUUGCCCAUGUUGCAAUAAAGGAACUGUUUCCACAAGGCUAAAAAAUUGUAAAAAACAGUGUUACAUGGGCCACAGACGCUUUCUUCCUCUUGAUCACAAAUGGAGGAAUGAUAAAGCGUCAUUUGAUGGCACUAAGGAGAUGAUACUACCACCAAAAAUGUUGUCCAGUGGUGAUAUACUUGAUCAAGUUGCUGAUUUAGAUGGGUUACCACUAACAAAGGAUCCAAAGAAGAAGAAUAAGAUAUCACAUGAAAGUAGGGGUGAUAAUUGGAAUAAGAAGAGUAUAUUCUUUGAUCUU